UACUUUUUGUACCAUUUAGCUGUGUCUGUCGGUAUACGUUUGAGACAAUCAUUAAAAUCGACAUGAUAAAGCCCCAUAUUAUGAGAAUAUCCAUCCUUAAAAUCAAAUGUAUCAAAUGCUGCCCAUGCAAAGUAUCCACGAACAUUUACACCAUCACUGUCAAUGUAAAAAUAUUAUUGCAUUAAGUAUCUGUUUCUUUUGGAAACAAAGUUAUAGAAGAAUGGCAUUUCACAAUAGAUUUGUUUCAUAACUUUGAAUUUGUCGCCUUUCGAUAUUAGAUAUAGUUUGAACUAAAACUAUAAAUAUUAAAGGAUACAACUCCUUCAAAGUGAACAAUACAUUUUAUGGGUAAAAACCAUGAUUAUUAGAAAGAGAUUUAAAUUUAUGCUAUAUAUAUAUAUAUAUAUAUAUAUAUAUAUAUAUAUAUAUAUAUAUAAAGAUGAUUAAAUGUUUAAAUAUAAAGUAGGGUUAAAUAUGUUUUUGGUCCCUAUAAAAUUAAGAUCUUUUAAGUUCAGUGCUUACUUAAUUUUAAUAGUUCUUUUAGUCCCCACAAAAUUUUUCUACAAUCAGUAUUAGUCUCUCCUCAAUUCAAAUUUGUUUAAUUUAUGUUUAAACUCUUGAGUUUUCGAACAAAUUUUUGCAGACGUGUUAAGAAAGUUACUAAAGGUUCCUCUGCAAAAAAUUGUCGCAAAAUUUGAUUUUUAUGUUUAGAUUUUGUUAAUUUUAUCUUUAAUUUUUGUCGUUUUAAAAAAUUCAUAUUUAAUUCGUUUCAUGUUAAAAAAUUCUAAAUUUUAGUAAAUGAACCUUUCAUAGUGUUCUAAACUUGUCCAAAAAAUCGUUCAAAAAUUUAAGAGUUUAAGGAUAAUUAAACAAAUUUGUUGUAACAGGGACUAAAAUUAGAAGUAAUUUUUUUUGUAGAGACUAGAAAACCUAUUAAAAUUAAGUAUGGACUAAACUUAGAAGUUUCCAAUUUUAUAGGGACCACAAAAUAUCAAUAGUGAACAAAAGGUAAAAUUACAUUAAAAUCUACUUUAAUUUAACUUGUUAUAAUUUCAUUCUUUUCUUUCGUAAUGUACUUGAUUUUUUUUUCUUUUCCGGUUACCAUGUUAUAUGUAUGAAGUUUAUACCGCCGUUUAUCAGUGACUAAUCUCUAUCUCUAUCAAAAAAUAUGUGAAGGAUACAAGAUGGAUUCUCCCCUCUAAAGUGAUUUUUCUUCAUACACAAGAAUCAAAUUAAAGGUACUUCAUUAUAUUACUAAACAACCGAAAAAAUAUAGUUAAUAGUUUUUUUGAUUUUUUUUUUUUAACUAUACAUUAGUUGAGAAAAACAAUAUUAUACAAGUUUGGAAUAGACACACUAAAAAAUAAAUAGGCCUUAGAAAAGUAACAUUAGAUAAUACCUUUUCAAAUUCUACAAAUGUGAAAAAAUACUUACUCAAUUGCUGUUUUGGUAGCGUUUAUAUGUGCAGUAAUGAAAGCAAUUCGAUGUUUGUCUUUCAAAGGAUUUGGGAUUUUGAUCGAAGGAAUUCCUACAAAGAGAGAAUUUCACAAAAAUAAAAUAAAAAAUAUUGAUCUCUUUUGUGGCAUAAAUUAUAGAAAUUUUAGUUAUUAUGAUGUAAAUAUGAUCAAAAUGAAAACCAACCAUUUUCAGUAAUGUAGAUUUUGGGAUUUUUGUACUUUUUUUUAAUGUAGAGUAAGAAAUUAUAUAAUCCUUCGGGAUAGACAUAUCUACCACCAUAUUGAUCCUACAAAAUAUCAAUAGUGAACAAAAGGUAAAAGUAUAGUAAUUAAGUUAUGCCGUUAACAAAUACCAUUCUUCUAAAUUUACAUCAUUAUUUGCUCACCAAGUAUCCAAGAGUUUUUCCUUCUGCAUUAAUAUCUAUAGUAAUGAAAGAAUGACAAUGAGUUAGACAACGAUUAAUUAUUUUAAUUUCUUGUAAUUUCCUUGCAUAUCAAAUAAUUAGAAUUUGAUUGGUAGAAUUUAAGGUGUUAACUACAAUGACCCUUUUUCAUCGUGAUUCCUUUGUAUACCAAUUAUUUUAUUUUUAAAAAAGUAUAAUUUAUUUUGAAUAAAUUUUUUUACCUUCUGUAUUAGCUAAGGCGUCGAAAUAUCCACCAGUAACCUUGGUUCUAUUUGGUUCAUGUCUAACAAAGUGAGAAGUAUAAUAAUUAAUUCCAAUAAAGUCUAUGCUUCCUUUCAACAUUUCUUUCUCAUUUUUAGUGAAUUUGGGUAGUCUUUUUCCCACUAGCUUUCUCAUUAUUUGUGGAUAAUCCCCAUGGAACAAUGGCUCUAAAACCCUGUAGAAAUACGAGUGGUUUAUUGACCAUCGUAAAAUUAUACAUAGAAUUGAAGAAGCAAAAGAUCAACAAUUGAUAAAACACAAAAUGUGAGUUGUUUAUAGCGUAACUAAAAAGCACUAACCAUCCCCAUGUAAAAUCUGUUAAUCUUUGAGCAGCAUCCACAUCCUCUAGUUUGGAACUGUAAGGAAAAUAUGAUUCUGAUGAAAUAACAAGUCCGAUUUCUCCCUCUUGAAUUGCCUAUAUAAACAAUUUAAUGGAAAAUGACAAUACAUUAUUUUCUCUUAAACAUUCUUCUUAUUUUAUAAACUUUUGAUUAAUGUUGAUAAUUGAUAAUUUGAAUUUUGUUGAUUUUACUACAUCAGUGUCAAAAUCAAUAUUACUAUCACUAUUAUCAAGGAUUUAUAAUCCCUUCGGUCAUGUUGUGAAUCUGGACCCGAUCUCAAUUAAAAGCAACUUUUUUACUUUUUAGGUUCAAUUAAUAAAUUUUGUAUGUGAUAUGCCACAUAUAUCAUUUGUUGAAUGAACCUUAAAAGUAAAAAAAUUUCUUUUUAAUUGAGACCAGAAGAGUAUAUAUGUAACAUAAAAUUUCGAAAAUGUGUCUUACUUGGAAUUUGGACUUGUAUAACUUUGAAGCCAUAGCAUGGGCGAUGAGGAAGUUAUGAAGUUUAGUAUAUACUUCCGUACAUAUCUUAGUAGUUGGACAUGGGUCCGUAGACAAUUUACCAACAUUGUACACGGCUUCAAACACUGCUUGAACUUCUGGCUCGUUAAAUGUAGUCCAAUGUUUUACACGAUCACCAUAUGUUUUGAAUAGGAGUUCACUGUAAUCCUUGAAAUGUUUCCUAAAAUUUGAUUUUUACAUAAACAAUAUAAGCACGCAUGAAGAAAUUCUAUAAAUUUUGAUAGACUAAUUUAAGGUUGAAUCAAUUUAUUGAAAAUAAAUUAUCCAGAAGAGAUUAUAUAUAGGAGAUUUACACAUUAGAGUGAUUUGAGAAGCCACCAAACUUUUUUUGAAGAGCUAAUGGAUAGUCAAGGUGCAAUAUAGUCACAAAAGGUUCAAUACCUACAUAGUCAAAUGGAUCAUGUAAAGCAAGAAAAUAAAAAUUGUUGCAUGUACAUUAAACAUACUUCUUAUUGAAUCUAGUUAUUGCAACGAAUAUUGGAUUCUUCUAUUCAUACCAUUGUUGAGUAACUCGUUGAUCAAAUUGUUGUAGAAGUUGAUACCUUCUUUGUUUAUACCUCCUUUUAAGGUUCCAUCUAUAAAAUUGGUUGUUGAAUAUAAAGAUAAAAAUAAGUAUAUUAUUAAGUAUUGCAAGAAAGGAUAUAUUGAAACACUAUUGGUUGUGCAUAUGAAAUAUAGUUUAAGGAAUUUUAUCAAUAUAGUAAGUUGUGAUUUGAGUAAUGAUUUGGUAAAAUUAUUUGUACUUCCUUUGAAUAACCAUAUAAUUAUUCCCUAAACUUAUUUUUUUUGUUCAACUUGGUUCCUUAAGUUUUUUUUCCUUUCAUUUUAUCCCUUAGGUUAAAAACCUUUUGACAUUUUAUUCAUUUCCAUUAGAAUUUUAUUUGACUCAAUCUAAUAUUCUGAGAAAGACAAAUAAACUAAUAGCCAAUCAAGUAUACUAAGACUCUUAUUCCAAGACAUACUAGUAGAUUAAAGAAAAGAAAUUUUGAAAAUCUUAACAAUAACAACAACCAUCAACCAUCUUUAUGUAAAAAAAAAAAAAAAAAAAAAAAUACUAUCCAUAAUCUCUUUUUUCUUCUAUCAUUGGGAAGAUUCUUAAUCUUCUUUGACUACCUAAACCUACUCAUUUUCACAUUAAUAAGUUCCUUAAUCUUUUAGCAUUCCAUUAAUUAAUAAGUUCCUUUUCUAAACUAUAAGUAGACAUUAUAUUAGAGUAUGUUAGCUCAAAAGUUUUACCUGGUAUUACUCUAUUCCAAGAUAUGGAGAAUCUGUAAGAAUUUACACCAAGAAUCUUCAAUUUUUGCACAUCCUUCUACAAGACCAUUCAAAUUAAAACAAAUAAAAUACAUUCAAAAAAUUAAACAUAAAAAUUUAGGUUUAGAGUUUUCUUCAAUAUUAAUUUUUUUUUUUUAUAAGUAAACUUUUUAUUUAAGGGGUUACAAGGGUACUCAAACCCCAUUACAUUUUUUUUUUUUUAUCAAAAAUAGGCUGGGAGAUUGAAAUUUUUACCAAUGGUAGUUAUAAUCCCUAUUUUAAUCCUAAAGUCCUACGAUUUUGUGAUUAUCUCAAUGAUUAUGAGUAUUCGCAAAAUCUUAUUUUGGUGGAAUUUUGUAUAAUCUAUUUUCCUUUUGAAAUGAUUAGGAUUAUGAUCGUGGUGUUGGAACUACAAAAGAUAAUUUUAGUUGUUGUUUUGUAUGAGACUUAAGAGAUUGAUUUAUCAUUUUAAUUACAUGAUUAUUUCAAGUGUGAUGAUGUUCAUAUAUGAGUGUUAGUGUGUUAAUUACAUAAGUAUUUUAAGUGUUAAUUGUGUAAGUGUUAUGCAACUAUGCUAUUUUGUGAAUUAUGCUUAUGAAUUCAAAUUUACACAAGUAUUUCAUGUGUAAUUUAAGUUUUUUUUUUUUUUUUUUACUUAUGUUGGUUUAUAUGCAUGUCUAUGAAUUAAUAUGCAUAUAAUUGAGUUUUGUGAAUUUUUAAUAAUCCUACGAUUAAUGUAACGAUUCUACGAUUUUACCUCCCCUUAUCGAUUAUGUGUAAACUCUCGAUUUUGAUUUGUUGUCCUCACAUAUGAAAACAGACACAUGAAAAACACAUGAGCACUACCCUUCCACCAAUAGAUAUAUUAUUUUUCAUAAGAUCUCCAACAUGUUGCCUAGUACAACAUCUACAAGAUAUGUUUGGAUUGAGAAUUUAGGAGAUGACUUAUUUUUAGUUUUUAAAUCACGAACACUACAUAUUGUUUUCUGAAAACUUGAAAUAGUAACAAACAUGAUAAAUGAUCAUAUAAUACUUCAAUCACACUUAAUUUAUUUUAAAAAAAUUAUAUUAUCCAUAAUUUAAAAAAGAAAAGAGUAAUUCCUCCACUCCCUUCCCCUUUUAAACCAUCAUCCAAACACACCAUAAUUCCCUCUUUUAACAAUCUAAUUUUUUCAUUCAAAACAUAAGAUUUCUAGCCAUCCACAAUGGGUAGUUUAUUCAUUACUUUUAACUACUAUACUAUUCAUUAUAAUUUUUAUUAUAUUAUAUAUAUAUAUAUAUAUAUAUAUAUAUAUAAUUUCUCCAUUAAAAAAGCAAAACAUCCAAGCAUAGACGCUAAAAGAUUUUGAGUAGUAAUCAACAAACUUGACUAUUAGAAUCGAGAGUUAAGGAGGGAGUCUCAUGGCCACAUUCUUAUCAAAAUAAUAAUUUUUUAGAGGAAGAACUAUACUAUUUUUGUUUUAUAGAUGGAAGAACUAUACUAUUAUUUGCCCGCAAAAAACCUAUAAUACUAUUUAUCAAUAACAAACUCUAUAAUAUCUAAUUGUAGUGAGGAAAAAAAAAUCCAUAGAAAAUGAACUCGCCUUAUAUCUCGUGUAAUGCUCAAUCUUUGUAUCAAAUUUAUCAGCACCAGAAUAUAUUUCUGCUUGUUAAAAAAAAUGCAAAACAAGAAAUUACUAAGAUUGACGCAAAAAGAUAUGAUAACUACAAGAUAAUGUUACUUCUAAAAAGAGUGUAUAUACUACAUAUUCUGUACGGGUGAGGAUAUUUAGACACCUCAUCCCCUAAAUAUUCAUCUUGGUUAUGUCCCACAUGCUCACCUGGUAAGACGCGUCAAGAUCCUCUCCAUUUUGUACCUUCUCCAUUUCUUCUAUUUAGAGAGAUAUAGAUUUAAAUUUUUUUGAAAAAAGUAAAAAAUAAUUAAUGAUUGUAGGACUCACUGUCUAUUUUAUGUGUCUAUCUCUCUCCAAUUGUGUAUUCCAUUUGGAGAGAUAAAGACAUAAUUCUUUUUGAAAAUAAUUAAUAUAGUGGGAUCCACUUAGUGGUAAGAUCCAUUACAUACUACUCCCUCCGGUCCUUAAUAUAAGAAAAAGUUAACUUUUUAAGUUCAUAGAAUAAUUAAUGUAUCUUAUUGAAAAUAUAGACUAGAUACAUCACUUAAACAAUGAACUAAAAAUGUCAACUGUUUCUUAUAUUAAGGACCGGAUGGAGUAUUUUGUAUCUAUCUCUCACCAAAUGAUAUUAUCCCUGUAUUUUUAGAAAUGGAGAGGAUCUUAACUCAUUUGUCCGCUACUCUUUUCUCAUUCUAUAAACCAAUUACUACCUAUUCCAACCCCUAAAAAAAACUACAUAUUUUAAGAUGGAUGAAAAAAAAAAUUAACUAACCAUUAAGCAUUUGUCAAAAAUAAUAUAAUAAAUUGGUUAUAUAUAUAUAUAUAUAUAUAUAUAUAUUGGGGGCAUAUCUGAAUGACAUUUGUACGUGAGAAUGGUAGGAAUAAAUUAUAGCCAUCAGAUUAAAAACAAAGGUUGAGAUUAAAAGAUGGUUUAUUGAGUCAUGCACCAAACAUGUGUCUAUUCUCACUUCCUCUUUCGGUCUGCGCUCUGUUUUUUUUUUUUUUUGGUACGAUCGUUCCCUUUCUAUUCUAUUAUCUCUAUGAACAAUGAAUUUUUCGACUUCUUUUCCCAUAUUCUCAUUAAUGUUCUUCGUCCUCCAUACCCCUUUCUAUUUGAUAUUUUAAUUAAUUAAUUUAUUUAUUCAAAUUUAGACCUGCAAAAUAUUAAAAAUCUCUAAUUUAUAAAGUUGGAUUUAACCUAAAUCUUGGAGAAUUAGCGUUGUGCCGAAAUCGGUGAAGGUGCCGUAACUGAUGGUGGUGCCGGAAGUAGUAGUGGCUAUUUGCUUUGCGAUGACAAUAGCAAAUUGGAGGGUUGCCAAUUCAGCAUUGUGAAGUACUUUCAUUAUGGCGAGGCGCCGCCUUUGGUGGGAAGAAGAGGUGGUUUGCCAUAAGAGAUGAUGGAGGGCGAUGGGAAGAAGAAGAAUAAUAAGAAGAAAGGUUAAAGCAGGACGGGAAAAGAAAGGAAACCAUACUGUACGUGCAAGAAGUGAAAAUUGGCACAUGACUCAAUAAAACAUCUUUUAAUCUGAAGGUUGUAAUUUAUUCCUACCAUUCUCACAUAUAAAUGUCACUAAUUUUCUUUCGUUAGUUUAUUUUUUUUAUAUGGGAUAAUGUAUAAUAUAUGCAAGGUUUGAGAUUCGAACCUUGACCACCAUAUAAAAAAAUGGUAGAAAGAUAUACACUAAUUAUAUGUCUAUCCGUUUUUCUAUUACAUAAUAUAAUAAAUUCCUUUUACAGUGAUCAAUUAUGAUUGUUCCAGUUUCAAUUAGAUUUAACUAUUUUUUUUUAAUUAAUAAUUCAAAUAACAUCAUAAUAAUAAAAGGAUAAAAUAGUAUAAUUGAAUGGAAAAAGCCACAUAAAAACUAUGUAUCCCCUUUUUAUAUAAAUAGAUAUAGAUAUAGAUAGAUUAUACCGUCAAAUAUACCAAGUCCUCUUCCUCCUUCAUGCGAUCCACCUUCAAUCUACGGUCACAAAAACUUAUCAGUAAUUGUGCCUUCGAUCUACAAUCUCAAAACUUAUCAAAGGCCUGCGAAUUUUUAGCAUGUACCUGAGGAGCUGAUGUUCCAGCACCAAACAAAAAGCCACGUGGAAAUGUUUCCCGAUUCGGAAAGCUUGAUGAAUUUACAAAUUUCAACAUAGAGUCAUGUGCAUUAGUGGUAGCUCCUUCUCCAAUCUGUAUUACUCUUGUCUCACGUUGAGAUGGUUUCUGCGAGGGAAGUAGAAGUAUACCUGCAAUAGUAACAUUAAAAUACACUUUGCAUUACUCUAUUUGUCGUAAGUUAUAAGUCACGUUGCAAAAAAUAAUUUGUUUAAAAUUAGAAAUCAUUUGACUAUAUUCAUAAAACAUUAUUGUUUCCUCUUACAAAAUUAACUAUAAUUUUUUACUUGAUUAAAAACGGUAUAAAUAUAAAAUAGGAAACCAUGUUUACUUGAUUAAAAAAAGUGAGAACUUCAUUUAUUGAAGAAGAUGAUUAUCUAAAAAUAAAAGAAGUAAAAUGCUCAUACCUUGUGCCUGGACCCGAAUGUUGGAAAGCAAAACAAGUGACAAGAUUGCAAGAACAGUUUUAGUAAUUCUCAAAGAUGACAGAAUCUCCAUUUUCUCCAUCUAAGAAAACUUUGGAAGUUGAUAGAAAAAUGACAACUGUAUUGUUUGAGAUUUCUUCAGUAAAUACAUAUAUUGCUAUAUAUAUAUAUAGACCUUCUAACUAAUAUUUAUUUUUUUGUUUUUUAACAAAGAUUAAAUUAAGUUGUGAGAAAUUAAUUGAAAAAGGAGCACAUGCUAGCGACCACAUAAUUUUUUGAAAGAAGGUUAGCACCUUUUUUUGAAAGGUGGUUGGGUUAGCCAAAAAGCUUCUUAUUUUUAUGUUUUAUUUAUUUCCUUUAGUUUUCUUUUGUUUGGAUAAGUUUUUUUUUUCUUCUUUCUAUAUAUUAGAAUUUAAAAUUCAACAUAUGUUGAUUCAAUUGAUUAAAAAUUUAUUCAUACAACAUAAUGACGUAGUUCACCUCUCUUGCUUUGUAUUCUUCUCAGUGAUGGGAGUCCCCACCCUCUUUUGUAGCUUAUUUUCUUCUUAGGGAUUCUUUAGGUCUCCCUUACAUUAGGACUGAUAUGGAUUAAUUGUUGUAAGUGGUUUAGGCAGAUUACUUUUAUAUCAUUUUCUAGCUUUAUAAAAAUAAACGUAGUUCAUCUCUCGUUGUCAAUGUGAGGACGUCAAUAUUCUCUAGCUUUGACAAAGUAAAACUCACUAUAUUUGCAAAAUUUUAUCCAAGUGAAUUUUGUCUAACGAGAAUGCUGAUGCUUAAUCAUAGAAAACAAAUAAGCGAUCUUGUAAAAAAAAAUUGGUUGAAACUAAAAGUUAUAUCAUAUAUCCGUUAUUCUAUAAAAUUUUCUAGUUUUGACAAAGUAAAACUCACUAUAUUUGCAAUGUUUUAUCCAUAUGAAUUUUGUCCAACUAGAAUGGUGAUGCUUAAUCAUAAAAGAUAAAUAAGCUACCUUUUUAAAAAAAAUUGGUUUAAUCUAAAAGUUAUAUAUAUAUUAAAAGAAGGAGUUGUGAUAUUUGUACAACUAUAUCUAACAACUUUGAUGACAACUUUUAUUUACUCUCUUCCUAUUGGUUCAAAAUAAUAUGAAUAUGAGAGAGAAAGUUGUCAAAAAGUUAUCAAAAAUUGGAUUUACAUAUAAAAGAAGGUUAGCAACUUUUUUUUGAAAGGUGGUUAAGUUAGCCAAAAAGGUUCUGCCGCUAUACAAUUUUGAAUACUGUGUAUAUGUAUUACUUUAUAGUUUUAUUUGAUUUCUCUUCUUUUUUUAUGUUUUAUUUAUUUCCUUUUUUUUCAUUUGUUUUGAUAAAGUUUUUUUUUUCUUUUCUAUAAAUUACUCUUCCAAACUUUUAAUGAUAAAUAUUAGAAUUUAUAAGUCAACGUGUGUUGAUUCGAUUGGAUUUAUUCAUACAACAUAACGACGUAGUUCACUCUCGUUAUCGAUGUGAGGACAUCCUUAUUCUCUAGUUUUGACAAAGUAAAACUCACUAUAUUUGCAAAGUUUUAUCCAAGUGAAUUUUGUCCAACUAGAAUGGUGAUGCUUGAUCGAUCUUUUAAAAAAAAAUUGGUUGAAACUAAAAGUUAUAUUAAUUUUGUUUUUUGAAAGAAGGUUAGCACCUUUUUUAUGAAAGGUGGUUAGAAUUUAUAAGUCAACAUAUAUUGAUUCAAUUGAUUAGAAAUUUAUUCAUACAAUAUAAUGAUGUAGUUCAACUCUCGCUAUCGAUUUGAGGGCGUCUUUAUUCUCUAGAUUUGACAAAGUUAAACUCACUAUAUUUGCAAAUUUUUAUCCAAGUGAAUUUUGUCCAACUAAAAUGGUGAUGCCUAUAUUAUUUAUCGGUUAGUCUAUCAAAUUUUUAUUUUAACUUAACAAUGAUAUUUUUUGACAAUGAACAAUAUAAUUUUUCAAUAUAGAUGAUUUUUAUGAUAUUAUUAUAAUUGAUAAUUAAAGUUCAAAAGUUUAACCCCCUAGCUCGUGAUCCUUGCAACGCCAGAUGUGAUUUUCUUUUGUAAUAUUCUUUUUGAUUUUUCAAAAAAAAAAAAAUUAAUAAUUCAAAAAGCAACCUCUUCUAGGGAAGCAUAGCUUGAAAGAAGAGGGUCGAGUGAGGCCACCAUUGCCUUAGGCCCACCACUCCCUUUGUUUUUAAAUGUCAUUAAACUAAUUUGUCCGCAAUAUAAAUUAAUCAAUGGAUAUCACAUGAGAAGCAAGCAAGUCUUGAAACAACAUAUACUUUAAAUAAAAUUAUUUUGUUGCACACAUAUAAAUAUUGGGAAAUGAUUAAAAGCACGACACAUUUUUUCGUGCAUAUCCCACGAUUGAUUUUGUAUUUGACAAGUCAACUAUAUUAAAUUCUAAAAUCAUUUUGUUCCCUUUAACGAAGGGCUUACUGUUAACUACCAAAGCUCUAAAAUUGUCUAAUGGUGGAAAACAAAGCUCUGUUCUCAACGAAAAACACAACCAUCAAACUCCUUUUAUUCCUCCCAUGCGACUCCACUGUACAGUCACCUGCAUCGUAACCCCGUAGACAGUCACCAGUUUCUCCGGUUUUACCCCAUCCUCUGAUGUCGGUGAAAGAGGUGUCGCAGUAGCAAAUCGUAGUCACAAUUAGGUAAAAACGACGAGACAUGAAUGAGUGGGUAAAAACGACGAGACUAUAAAUCCUUGAAACAAGCCAAUCAUAUUUUUGAAAGAAAAAUACCAUAAAUCAUGAUUCAUGAAGAAAGCUAUCACAACAAUCCGAUAAAGAGAGAGGAGGAUAAAAAUGUGAGUGGGUGAUAGACAAAGAGAGGUUGUUGUAUCAAAAUUUAUAUUAUUUUAUUUGUUGAAAAUCCAUAAAGUCUCUGACCAUGAGUAAUGAAAAUUUGCGUUGUCGUGCAUGUCGUGUGGCUAAACUGUCGUGCGAUAUAGCAUUACUCUUGUAUAAAUGGUAGAUUGUGGCUUUAAAGAGAGAAUCACGCAGCAGCAUGAGCAAAGUACAAAGGAUUAUGCCAAAGUAUUAUUAUGCCUCAAAUGAUCUCCUUAAGAAAAGCAUGGAAUCAUAAAUGAGAAAUUAAGAAUAGCCGUCAUGAGAAACAUUUAAAAAUAAUUAUGCAAUUUUCAUAAUAAAAAAUGGCUUUUCAAGAAAAAUAUUUUAAUGCAAAAUCAUGUUUAUAUGAAAAAUAUUGUGAGUAUGUGAUUUAUUUUCAUGAGAGCUUUUUAACCACUAAAAGAAAGUGCUAAUACCACUACCAAAAAAAGAAAGUCCUAAUACAAAGAAAAAUUAAAUAAUUUAAGACUUGAUAGCUUGAAUUUCUUUUCCGCCUUUUACAUCUUUGUUCUUCUAGGACUUCUUUUGUCAAUCAUCAAAACCAAAGUAUUCCUAUCAAGGCAUAUAUUCACAUAAAAGAUUUCUUUUUUUCAAUUGUGGCUUUAGUGAGUAAUUAGGUCUUGUCUCUAUUUAUAUAGCCUGAAUGCAGAAUAGGUGUGAUGCGCAAGUCUUGGCUAAUGAUCAGUUGAAAUCUCGAUCUUCAACACAAGAUAUAUGAAGCAGAUCGGAUGUUUCCUUAAAUGCUGCAACAAAGUUCUUAAGGACUAAGAUAAGAACAAAUCACCUUUCUCUGCUUCUAGAACCAGACUAUCUUGGUUAACUCUUUUUGUGAUACAGAUCUUUAGAUAUUCUAUGAAAAUCACGUUUAAAAAUGAAUCUCCAAGAAGCGGAUCAAGGCACGCGCUGAUGUCGUACCAACAUGUUAAUACAUUAUGUCUGGCAUCUUGCUAUAACUAAAGUUUUAACAAAAUGAAGCCAAUACAUGUCUAAAAACCUAACAAUCUCCCCCUUUGACAAAUUUUGCCUAAUACAACCUUUGCAUUAUGAACAAAAGAAUGAGAGAUCAUAAGGUCAUACCUUCUUUCUCUCCUUCAUAGGAAUUCAGUACGAAAGAAGAUAAGAUAUGAGCUUCAACAUUAUUUAGAAGGAACUUACUUAAAAAUAAUGCACAGAUGGACAUGUUGAGACAUCAUCCAACACAUCAGAGGCGUUCGCAGCAACAGAUUGAAUAUGGAACCCAACCUCACAGAAAGUAUUUAGGAGAAAUAAACUCCACAAAGAGAAAUAAACUCUCAUUCAUUUAUCAGCCCAUGGAGAAAUAAACUCCCACAUAUAAUGCAUCAGAGAAAAAAAUAAAUUUAUAAUAUAUUCAAGAUGUCAGGGCAUCUGUAAGACAUCAGUUCAUCAGAACGCGCACACACACCCACAUGCAUUUCAAUCAAGCACAUACUAGCAUAAAUCUAUUCAUGUCUAAGCCGGAUAGUAACAGAUAAUGCUUCCCCUCAAUGGUAGAUCAAAAUAUAUUUAUGCUCCCCCUCAGGCUAUGAAUGCUUAGCACCAUGCAUAAUGAAAAUCUACCAUUAUAAGCUACUACCCCUUUUUAGCCAUAAAUUAUGAGAAACUAUCAUGCAUAAAGUAUAAAUAUUACAGACCAGGCAUUGCCCAUAAAUAUCAAGAAGUAAUAGAAGAAUUUUUUUUUUUUGAAAGUCUGGACUGCCUUCAGUGUCCACACUAGCUUUCCUUUCAGUGUUGGACUAGAUUGUUUCUUCCAAGGUUUUUUAUAUUUCUUGAAGCUCAGCAAGGAUACCUUCCUUUGUAGUGGAGCUGGCAGCUUCUUGUUCAGAUGUUAGGACAAUGUCUGGGACAUGUAAUCCUACAAGCAGGUUAUAGUGAAAAGUAAGACGGGAUUCCCUCUUGGUUGCAACAUCAGAACUUACCACGAUUCCAGGAUGUUGGUUCUGAAUGAUAGCACAAAUGAGUGACGGAAAGGAAAUGGGCAUCUUUAUAGAAAAUGUUUAAGCAUGCUUCAUAGUUUGCUCAAAGACAUAUGAACCAAAGUUGAAGUUAGUUUUUGUUCCUACAAUGUAAAUAAAUCUUCCCAAACCUGUAGCAAUAGUGGAGAUUGAUGAGAUAAAACCACAAGUGCAAGGUCUUACCGAAAUAGUAUGAAAAGAGUAUCGUUCCGACAGGGAGUAGUUUAAUUCAAUUUACCUUUGAUAAUGAUUAGAGGAGAAAAGAGUUGUAAGUUGAGGUUUUCAAGCGAUUGAAAGAUAAUAAUAAUAAAAGGAGUUUGGGAUCGUUGGUUCAUCUAAAUGACAAGUCAUUCACAAACCAAACUAUAAGCUUAUAACUUUAUGCUAGACCUAAUUUCUCAAGACAGUUUCUCUUUUGUUCCUUUAGCAACCAAGCCUAUUUCGCUGACUUGAUUACUAUUAGAUUUUGGUUCCUCUAACAACCAAGCCUAUUUCGCUGACUUGAUCAUUAUUAGUUCCCUUGAAGAUCGAAACUAUAUGUCUCAAAGAUUGCAAAGACUAUUUCGCUGCCUUUGCAAUCCUUGUCUAAAUUCACUUGUUCGAAUAUCAAAGCUCCACUUUCGUUUUAUGAAUUGAUAUUUGAGAUGAUGGAUAAACAAUUAUCAAACCCUCCACUUUCGUUUCCACAGUUUGAUAAUGGUUGAUCCAUGUUAAAGCGGUGAAUUUAGAUAAUAAAUUAGGGUUACAUAAGAUUAAGGCUUAGAGCUUGGCUUGAUUAGGAUUAUGUCAUUUAGACUUAUCCAACAAUCCCAAGACAAAGAGAAGUCUACUCACUCAUGUUCAUCGUAGACAUGGGGAAGAAGAGUGAAAGAAUAAAAGUAAAUGACAAGAAAAUAAAGGAAAAGAAAAGAACUUUUAUUAGAAAAGCAAUUGUCACUUAUUGAAUUCCAAGAAAAGAUGAAUAUUUUUUAUGGAUAGCUACUCUAUUUAUAGCAUACAUUCGACUUAAAAUCUAAGCAAUUACAUUACUGGAAUGUUCCACAAGAAACUGCGGGCUAAAAUAGAGUAGCUUAAAAUCUAAGCAAAAGUAGCAAAAGUUACUCUGGAGGGUGGCACGGCCGUGCCAAUGCUAGCACGGGCCGUGCCAAUGCUAGCACGGGCCGUGCCAAGCUCCAAGUCCCUUUCUUUUGCUCCAAGACUCAAUCCAUCCAAUAUUCGUUCCUGAAAUAUAAUAAAGUGCAAUUUGUAGUAAACUAACUCAAAAAGGGAAUAAUACUAAUAUAAAAUAAAAUAAAAUCCAUUUAAAAUUAAACUAAAUAACAUAUAAAAAUAAAUAUUAAAUGACUCAUCAGAGAUAUGAUUGGUUGGCACCUAAUUCGCAGCUCCUAUCCUGUGGAGAACGGCAUACUUCACACUUAACUUGUUUGAGGCCAAGUUACAUUUGAUAGGCCAUUUUUUGACUUGAUUUGCUGUAAUUUCCUGGCAAAUAUCAUUAUCAGUGAUUUCCACUUCAGCAUGUUCUUCCUCACUGCUGCCUAAAACUCUAUUAAUUAUCUCAGGGGAGAAUUCUACACACUUUCCUCAGACAAAUACUUUCCUGUACUCAGUGCUUAGGGUAUUGUCACAAUCCUUAGGAAUGUUGACUAUGAAUUCUUUCACCAGCAAUUCAUAACAAUUGCCAAAGCCACAUACACUUUUAUUAAUCCAGCUUUAUCAACGAGUUUCAUGAUUUGCUCGCACUCUAGCGCAUCCUUUCCCAAUUCUCUUUCCAAUUCCAAUCUCCUUUGACAUAUGUACUUCCAUUUUAGAGCGUUGGCCCCAUGAUGGAAGGAUGUAUUAUCUGUAGGUGUCUCAUUAACAUUUGCUGGAAUCUUCUUCCCAGACGUUCUCCUUUUACCUAAAGGCAUGAUGUCCUGAACAUCUUGUUCAACAUCAUACUCAGAAUUUGAGGAUGAUACUUCCUUUCUUUACAGAGACCUUUUCUUUUUAUUAGAAGAGAUGACCUUACUGCAGCUUUUAGCAGGUCCCACAGUCACCUUCCUUUUAGCAUCCUUAGUGGGUUGACUUUCAACCAUGGUAGACUUUCCUUUCCUCUUUCAGUCUUCUGGCAACAGUCAUUUCAGCCAGAGGUAUUUCAUCUUCUUCACUUAUUCGCCAAUCAAAUAUUCACCAAUUGUAACACCCUAUUUUAUUAUUUAUUUAUUUUAUUGAGUUUAGAUGUCUUUUUAUAAUGGCUUAAUUGCACUUUUAGACCCCUAUCUUUCCAAAAGUUGCGGUUAUGGACCCCUAACUAAUUUAAAUACAAAACAGCCCCCUAUGUUUUGAUUCUUUGGUAGUUUUGGACCUCCAAGGCAAAAAAAAUAAAAAAUUUGACACGUGGCACCUCACUUAGGGUGCCACGUCAGCGUUGACCGAGUCAACAAUGGACCGGGGGUCCAAAACUGCCAAAGAAUCAAAACAUAGGGGGCUGUUUUGUAUUUAAAUUAGUUAGGGAUCCAUAACCGCAACUUUUGGAAAGAUAGGAGUCCAAAAGUGCAAUUAAGCCUUUUAUAAUUUAGUCGAUUUGUUUUGAUGAGUGAUAUUUUAUUAUGUUAUAUGUUGGUAUUUAUUAGUAUAUAUAUAUAUAUAUAUAUAUAUAUAUAUAUAUAUAUAUUAUUUGGUGUAGAAAUAUAUGUUAUUUUGUGUAGAAAUAUUAUGUUAUUUGGUGUAGAAAUAUAUGUUAUUUUGUGUAGAAAUAUAUGUUAUCUGGUGUAGAAAUAUAUUUCUUAUUUGGUGUAGAAAUAUAUAUAUGUUAUAGAAAUAUAUUUGUUAUAGAGAUAUAUUUGUUAUUCGUUACAGAAAUAUUAUAUAUAUAUAUAUAUAUAUAUAUAUAUAUAUAUAUAUAUAUAUUAGAAUAGAAUAUUGAGACUUAGAUGACAGAUUUGUAAAUAAGAGAAAAUAAGUAGGUUAAUGAUUUAUAUAAAAAGGGAGAAAACAAGAGAAGAACCAAGAGAAGAGAUAAGUGAGAGGAGAGAAGAAUCUUGUGAGAAGAAGAUCAAUCUUGUAGAGUCCGACCAUCUAAUUUAAGGUAAGAGUGGGAUUAACUUUCUCUAAUUCUAAGUGGUAUAAUUUUUUACAAGUAGUGGGAGGUAGUUUUGAGGAGUUGAGAACUAGGUUAAAAUUGGAGAAUUGAUUAAUUGAGAAGACUAAACGGUUAAAUUGAUGUAGAAAUAGUAUCCUGACCUUAGACUAUUCGUAGAACAAAGUUUAGAAUUAGUUUUAAGGUUCUUGUAAUUUAAAUGCCACACGAUUUUGGAUUUCAUGUGCAUAUGGUAUAAGUUUUCUGUUUACAGCGUCCUUUUCUUCAAUUAUACCUAUAGAAAUAUAUAUUAGAACAUAAUCCCAUGAUUCAUAUGUAUAUGUAUGUUUAUUGAUUUCAAAAUUAUUGAUUCCGAUGUUUUCAAAAUUUAGGAACACUAAUAUGUGAGUUUCCUUAAUUUCUAAGAAUGAAUUGAUUGAAAAGUACUUGAGUAAUUAUACUACAUCAUGAUGCUGUCCAAAAUAAGCUAUAAAUGAGGCAACUUGAAUUCUAUAGAUGAAUUUACGUGUGCUACCAUGUGACUUCUUUCAAAUCGUGAGAUAGCAAGAUCCAACAAUUUUGUUAACAAUUUAAGGCUAUGUGUAAUCGUUACUCGAGUUCUGUUCCGAACUAAUCCUAUUGAUGCCACAUUACUUCUUACUAUUGGAUAUGCAUAAUUUGUUGCUCUUUCUUUAUUUAAAUCUUUGAUUCAAUACUACUUGGUAGAUUUAAAAUUGUGUAAUUGAUGUGUUAUUUAAUGAUGUGUAAAUAAUAAAAUAUUUGAUGAUUUGUAAGUUGUCGUCAAUGUCGUUAAAGUUGUCAAGUUGUAAGAUGUUGAUUCAAAUUAUUUGAGUCAUAUAAGAUAUCUAAGUUGUUUAAGUUGUAAGACGUUGAGUCCAUGCAUACUCAUUUAAGUUGAGGGCUUGAUGCCCUAUAAGUUGAGGGCUUGAUGCCCUGUGAGCCUAUUUACGCUCAAUACGUUGGGGCUUGAUGCCCUAGUUGGUACCACAUGCAUGAUUAAAAGGUUGUAGUUGCAUUUUGUUGAGAUGGUUCAAGAUGUGUAAGAUGUCUAAGUUGCAUUGUCGAGUUGAAGUUGUGUCGUUGUUGUUAAGUUGUUAUUUACCCAUGUGUCGUUAAUGAAGUGAUUAUGAUGUUCAUUAUGAUGUUGUUAUGUUGUUUAUGAUGUGAAGUAUAUGAUGUUAUAAACUGAUGUUUAUGAUGUAAUGUUUAUGUUGUUUAUGUUGCUAUAUGACGUUGUGUAUAAUGUGAUGAUGAAUAUGAAGUUAAUGAUGAUUAGAAGUUGAUUAAGUUAUUAAUGAAGUAUUAUAAGAAGAGUAAUGUUAUUAAUUGAUGAAGUAUAAGUUGUUAAAUGCUUUUGAUGAAUUAUAUGCUUAUUAUUAUUGAAUGUGAAAUCUCACCCCUUCUGCUUGGAAAUGUUGCUCUUCAUAUGAAUAACUUGCAGGUGAUCGAGUUUAAGCUGCUGUUAGAUUGCUGUCGUGAGUGUACUAUCUCUCACGUGUGUCUUUAGGUGCUCUGAUACGUAACGGGAUGUGAACUUUGUUGCAUGCUUUUCUAUUCCUUAUGUAUUACUUUAUGAAGUUUAUGACUAAGUUUUUUGACUGGAUUUCUAUGAGAUAUUUAUGAUGAGGCCUUCGUGUCAAAGACUACUGUUUUUAGAUGUUGAAUAAAUUCCGCUGCGAAGUAUUAAUUAUUAUGUUAUUGAAUUUUGAAGGAUAAUUAUUCUGUUUAUGAUUUUAAGAAAAGAAGUGUGACAUUCCGUUUAUGUGAAUUACUCUGAUUAUUUUUAUGAAAUUUUUAUGUUGGGAAAAGGGGUGUUACACACAUAUUCAUCAAACACAUAGAAGGUAUGACACAUGUCAAAUUAUGCAAUGUGCGUAGACGCGACUCCUAUAUGCAUGUGGUACCAACCGUCACCAAGGUCGUCACCUCAUGAUGCAACAAAAACAUCAUAGUCAGUAGUUAUAAUUGAUGGCUAUAUGGAUACAAGUAUCCGGUCAACGACAAUAUGGAUAUAAACAUCCAACUCGACAUAUGAUGCAUGAACAUAUGACUUAAUCAACCAUGCAUAUCUUCAUGACGAUUCAACGGCUAUAAUCAACGACUAUAUCUUCUUCACUCUCAGAAAUAUUCUUCUUACCCUCAGAACCUUCUUCCUCAUCACUGUCAGAAGACUCAUCUUUCUUAUCAGUAUCUGAUUCACUAUCAUGUUUUUCAUUGGAUUCAGAUGGGUCAGUCGUAUGGAACAUAGAUAGUUUGGACCACAUUUGUUGUAACAUCAGGCACAACAUCAUGUUGGAUAGGGUUUGUAUGUUUUGGAAUAGUGAUAAUUUCAGUAGGAGACAUCACAUGAUCUGAUUUAUCAACAUUUGUGGUAGAAUUAUCAUCUAUAGAUUCUUUCAGACUACAUUGACCUAUGAUAUCAUCAGAACCAGACUUAACAGGUGUUAUGGUGUCAGAAACAAUGGGGUCAGUAUAAAGACUGGUCAUAUUGUUUGGUUUCUGUGUGACAACCUUAGGUUCAGUAGUUUUAGCAAUUUCAGAAGGUUCAGGAACAAAUACAGAGGGGCUAGAGAUCUUACCUACAACCUGGGGCUUACCUCUUUUGGUGGUUGAGGAUUUAGUUCUUCUUUUUGUUGGGAUCUGACUAGGGACCGUAGUGACAAGAACAACAUCGACGAUGAUCUCUGAUGAGCCUUUUUUAACAUUAGUUCGAGGUUUAAAGGGGGUAUAGGCUUUCUGAGGAGUAGUUUUAAAGCCCUUCGAUGGCCUGUCUUUUGGAUCAACAAACUUCAUUUUGAAAAAUGGGAGAUGAAUUGAACUGGUCAUAUAAAGACUGGUCAUAGUGUUUGGUUUCUGUGUGACAACCUUAGGUUCAGUAGAGAUAUGAAGAUGAUGCGAGUCAGUUUUAUAAAUUGAUGAACAAAAAUUAUGAGCGAAUAAGUAAAGGGAAGUUGAGAGUGAGCAGUUGAAUGGUUACUAAAAACUUCCUUAACUCAGUGUGCACCAAGAGAGGGAAGAAAAAGUAACCGUUAUGAACUUCUUUUUCUGUAACUACUAUGAUUCAAAAACACAAAUUCCCAAUUUACCCCUAAGCUUUUCAAAUUGGUUCACAUCUAAUGCUUUGGUAAAAAUAUCCGCAAGUUGAUUUUCAGUGGCUACAUGUUCAAGGGUGACAACUCUCUCUUCCACAAGGUCUUUAAUGAAGUGAUGACAAAUGUCAAUGUGUUUUGUCCUGCUAUGUUGGAUAGGAUUCUUGAAUAUGUUGAUAACACUCAGAUUUUCGCAGUAUAAUGUCAUGAUAUCUUGUUUGACAUUAUAUUCCGUUAACAUUUGUUUCAUCCAAAGUAGUUGAGAGCAACUACUUCCUGCAACAAUGUAUUCACCUUCGACGGUGGAUAGGGGCACACAAUUUUGCUUUUUGCUAAACCAUGAGAUAAGGUUAUUUCCCAGAAAGAAGCAUCCUCUUGAGGUGCUUAUUCUAUCAUCUGCACUAUCUGCCCAGUCAGCAUCACAAUAUACCACAAGAUUGGAGUGUGAGCUAUGUGAAUACAUCAUGCCAAACUCACUAGUACCACUAGCAUAUUUUAGAAUUCUUUUCACUUGAGUUAGAUGGCUCAUCUUAGGUUCAGCUUGAUAUCUGGCACAUACUCCUAUUGCAAAGGUGUUUUAUGGUCUACUAGUCGUAUGGUAUAGUAGACUUCCUAUCAUGCUUCUGUAGAGACUUUGAUCAACACUCUCACCUUUUUCAUCCUUGGUCAACUUUAAGUGUGUUGUGGCAGGUGUUCUUAUGUGACUAGCAGUUUCCAGACCAAAAUUCUUUACGAUACUUUUAGCAUAUCUUGAUUGAGAUAAAAAGAUGGUGUCUUCCAUUUGUUUGACUUGUAGACCAAGAAAGUAGAUCAGUUCCUCAAUUAAGCUCAUUUCAUAUUCAGAUUGCAUUUGAUUGACAGAAUGUUGGACCAUCUAAUUUGACAUUCCAUCAAACACAAUGCCAUCAACAUAUAUCUGAGCUAUCAUUAUUCCGCCAUCUUCAUUUUUUAUAAAGAGAGUUUUUCCAAUUACUCCUUUUCUAUAUCCAUUCUUGACUAGAAAUUAUGUUAGCCUUUCAUACCAGACCCUUGGUGCUUGUUUUAGCCCAUACAGAGCUUUCCUCAGUUAGUACACAUGUUAUGGAAGAUAUGGUCAACAAAUCCCUUAGGAUGUUUACCAUACACUUUGUAACAGCUCGAUUUUCGCUAGAAUUAUUUUUAAUUGUUUUUAUGUGUGUUUAUUUAUGCUCGUAUGUGACUAAUUGCCUAUGGGUGCAUUUUUAUGGGUUUUCGUGUUGGAAGAGUAAUUUAGUAAAUUAAUGUGAAGAUUAUUUUUAGUGUUUCAAGUGAGAUUCAUUAUUUUACUAAGUUACUAGUGUGGUAGUUAGUUGUGAGCCGGUAAGUGAUCGUGGUUAUUAUUUCACCGUUAAGUGAAUAGAAACAUUUUUUAAUUAGUGAAUGAAUGAGUUAAGCCCAUUAAGACAUUAAUGGUUGAGCCCAUUGAGAGGAGCCUAUAUAAGUUCUAGUCUUUAGAGAAAAAUAAGUUUUCAUAUCAUUUCAUAAGAAUUUUGAGAGAGGUAGAGAGAGAAAGUUCAAGAGAAGGUCAAAAGGGUUAGAAGGAAGAAAGCUUGAAGAACCAAGAGGUGAUAGAGAUUCUAGGAGCUAAAUUGAAGGUUUUGCUAGGAUUAUUGCUUAUUGAGGUAAGGGGGUUAGAUUUCAAUCAUAAUCACUUAGUUGUAGCUUCUACCCUAGUUCCAUGUAUAAGUGCUUACUUGGAUAAGGUGAUUAUUAUGAAAUUAAUUGAUGAAAUUCGUGCUUAUGCUUUGAUGUAAUAUUUGGGUAUGUGAAAUUGAUGUUAAUUGAGUUGUUGAUGAUGAAUUUACAUGCUCAAGUUAUGUAUAUAUGUAUACUUGUGUUUUUGCUCAAAAUUGGUGAAAUAUAAUGUUAUUGUUGAUGAAUUCACUUCUGAUUGUUGUUGUUGUGAUUGUAAAUAGUUGUUGUUGAUGAUUGAAACCUUGGGUAAUCUUAACCAUAGAGCUUGAAGUGAAUUUGUGUUGUUCUUGAAGUUUUUAUAAAAAAUGGGUCAAAUGGUGAUUUUUGUUGAAAUGAUAUUUGAUUCAAGUUUUUAUAUGGAUUUGAGUGUCUUUUCAUGUUUAUAAAUGUUUGGACAAACUUUGGGCAUUGGGAAGUCAAAAUUGAGAUUUUUGGAAUGAAAAAAGGGUUUUUCCCGUAGCAGAACUCUAGAAACCUAUCACAACUCGCCAUGGCGAGUAGGAUGCGAGUAGGAGGUGCUUCAUGUGUGUUAACUCGCCAAGGCGAGUGAUUCACUCGCCGGGGCGAGCGACAUAGUGACAUCAUCCUCUGUUUCGCGCUCUUGCAUCUUUUUCACGCAUUUCUGUUUUGAAUUGGCCUUCGGUGUAAACAUUAAAUUUUUAGAUAAUUGUGUUAGCUUUACAGUGGCUUUGAUUUGACUUGAAAAUGAUUUUUGGUUUUUGACUUAUGAUGAAAAUACUCCAAGGAGGUCUUAGUGAAAUUUAAUGAAAAUUCCGCAUAACUAUUUCUAUGUCAACCCAAAACUUAUGGAUUGUUUCCAAACUUAGAAACUUGUGUACUAUGAAUUCGAUUAAGGUGUUUCAGGGUAUUUAAGUUAUGUUGUGUUGGAUCUAACUUUGUUUGUUUUGAAAGUGAAUUGGUUUUGCAUUAUGAGUAAAGCAAUAUGAACUUUGCAAAACUUUGAAAUUUAAGUAAGUCGGCCUAUGAGACAUUGAUGUAUACACUAAUGCACUCAUAUGUGAUUUGUGUAUAUUCUUAGUCGUGGUUUCCAAAUGUGUUUACUUUGUUUUGUCGGAUAACUUGGAAAUUGGUAAAUGAUACGAACUUGUCGUAACUUGUGAUUUUGAUGAUACACUUAUAUGUGGUCUAUGUGUAUACAUAGUCGAGACCCCUGAAUUUAUUUACUUGGUUUUGCUUCAUUUGUCUCAAUUAUUUUAAAGUUGUAAAUUGAGAGACGAACUUUGUCGAAAAUAAUCUUUAAGACCAAUUACUUGGAAAAUCUUUUGUGGAUAGCUUUAUAUGAUUAUGUGAAGAUAUGUGAAUGAUUGUUAGGCAUUGGAUAUGAUGUUCAUCAUAACGUAUUGUAUUUUCUCUUUACUUGGAAUGUGGGAAAUUCAUGUAUUGAUAUCGAAUUAUAUGAAGAAGAUGAUAAUUGUAGAUACAUAUAUAUUGAUUAAUUAUGAUGUUGUUUGUGAAUAUAUAUAUAUAUAUAUAUAUAUAUAUAUAUAUAUAUAUAUAUAUAUAUAUAUAUAUAUAUGUGUUGAAUGAUUGUGGUGAAUUUUUGGUGAGUGCAUCUAUGUCAAGUAACGGUGAAUUGUUGGUGAAUGCAUAUAUGUUAAGUGUUUGGUGAGAUUGUGGUGAAUGUUUGUGUGAACAUAUGCAUUUGUUGUUGAGUCAUAUGUUCAUGGAUUCAUGACUGAUGGUGACGGAUUUUAUAUCCAAUUGAGGUGAUUAUGAUGUUCUGUUUGUAUGAAUGGGUAGACGGAGUGCAGGAGUAGUUGCUUUUGGUGAGUGCUUGGAUAGUGGGAGCUAAUCUCCGUUAUCGUUUCUUGGAGUCCUAGAUUUAGGCUCUGAUUAGGACGUUGGUCUUUAUGUUUUUGUUGGAUUUAUUUAUUAUUGAGAUUUUACCCUUAUGUCGGGAUUUGGAGAAUUUAUAUGAUGUUGUAUUUUGAUCUCAUGGCAUGUAGACCUAGGAGAUGUAUGAUCUAUAUCCGCUGCAACUAUUGAGAAUUUUAUAUAUACAUGUUGUUUGGAUUUUGUUGAUGACGUAGAGUCAAUUUCUUGAAUAUUUAUAUUAUUCGCGUGUUUUAUCGCUUUAAUAGAAAUAAGACGUUACACACUUCUUCAUUCAAGUAUCCAUUGAGAAACACACUCUUUACAUCCAUCUGGAAUAACUUAAAUUUUAACAUGCACACCACACCAAGUAGAGGUCUGAUUGAUUCUAAACGUGCAACUGGAGCAAAGGUUUUAUCAAAAUCUAAUCCUUCAAUUUGAGUGUAUCCAUGUGCAACUAACAUGGCUUUAUUCCUUGUUACAACACCCUUUUCAUCUUAUUUGUUCUUAAAAAUCCAUUUUGUGCCAAUGACAUUAAUAUUUUUAGGUCUUUGAACCAACUCUCAUAAUUCAUUCCUUUUAAACUUACUCAACUCUUCUUGCAUAACAUUGAUCUAUAAUUCAUCAGUAAGAGCUUCUUUAACAUUUUUGGGUUCAAUUUUUGAGACAAAGCAUGAAUUGAGUAUCACUUAUCUAGACCUGGUUGUAAUCCCUUGAUCAAGAUUCCCAAUGAUCAAGUCCUUGGAAUGAUUUUGUUGGAUUCUGAUCGAUGGUCCUUUGCUGGUUUGAUGAUUAUCAACUUCAGUUUCAAUAUCUUCAUUAUUUGGUGCAGUUUCUUCUUCCAUACCAAGAUCAUUAUUCUGAAGAUAUGAUGUUCCAUCAUCUUCCUCAACAUUGGAGUGAUUCUCAUGAGAAUCAUCAACUAUGACAUUGAUGGACUCCAUCAUUACUUUUGUUUUGGAAUCAAACACUUUGUAGGCUCUGAUGUUGGUAGAGUAUCCAAGAAAGAUUCCUUCAUCGCUCUUAGGAUUCAUCUUCCUUCCUUGUUCUUUGUCAGGAAAGUAUGUAGCAUUUACUUCCAAAAACAUGGAAAUAUUUAACAGUAUGUUUUCUUCCUUUCCGUAGUUCAUACAGAGUAGAUGUUGUGCCAAUUCUCAAGGUGACACGAUUGUGAAUAUAACACGCAAUAUUCAUGGCUUCUGCCCAUAAGUGAUAGGGAAGACUCUUUGCAUGUAGCAUUACUCUUGCUAAUUCUUGUAGUGUUAUGCUCUUUCGUUCAACCACUCCAUUUUGUUGAGGAGUGAUAGGAGAGGAAAAUUCAUGACUUAUUCCUUCUGAGGAGCAAAAGUCAAAGAAUUUAGCAUUCUCAAAUUCCUUUCCAUGAUCAUUUCUAAUUUUAAUGAUAAUCAUUCCUUUUUCUCUCUGAAGUCUUUGACAGAUAUCCUUGAAAUCCUCAAAGGUAUCAGACUUUUCUUUAAUGAAGUUUAUCCAUGUAAACCUAGAGUAGUCAUAUACAAUCGCAAAGGCAUAUCUUUUACCCCCAAGACUUUCUACCAACAUCGGACUAAUUAAAUCUAUAUGAAGAAGUUCAAGAACUUUUGUUGUGGUCUGAUGUUGUAACCUUGGGUGCGACAUUGCGGUUUGUUUUCCAAUUUGACAUUCUCCACAUAUAUUUUCUUCUUAUAUCUGGAGUUUAGGUAGUUCUCUGAUAGCGUCUUCAGUCAUGAUCCAUUUCAUUCCUCUAAGGUUUAAAAUUGACAUAUAAUCCUUCAUCACAUAGUUGACUAAUGCUGAUCAGAUUGGCAGUCAAUCCUUUCACUAGAAGGACAUCAUCAAGUUGAGGCAGGCCAGUACGGGCUAACUUACCAAUUCUUAAGAUUUUACACUUGCUCACCAAAUGACCAAAAUGCCCUUAAGUCUAAAAUGACUAAAAUACCCUUCUUAAGCCAAAAUCUACUAAUCCCAAGUAAAAUACACACUGGGAAAAAUAAUCACAUACAAGCACAUAUAAACACAUAUAAUAAAUAAUUAAAAUAAUUCUCGGGAAAAACGGGCUAUUACAAUUAAGGUGUGGGUCUCUUGUCGUUUAUUUUCACGUUUUGAUGAGAUUAUCACUCAGUAUGUUGAGAUUUGAGAUUUAUAUUUGGUGAUGUAUUAUGAUAUAUUUUGCAUGACUACUUUGAGGAUUUUUAUUAUCUGUUGAUAAGAUUUUAUGAUAUAAUUCAGAUGCGAGUUUCGGAAAAUUAAUUAUGCAUGUUUUGGUUUAUUGAAGAUGUGACAUCUAAAUUCUUUAUAUGAUUGUAUCAUUUGUGUGAUUUACCACUUUAAGGGUUUAGGGUGUUACAUACACCAGCCAUAAAUAGAGGCACAAAGGUUCCCAUUUCUGGUCGUGUCAUUGCAGCGGUUGUGGAAGCGGUUACUCCUAUUUCCGUCGAAACCGGCAUGGCAGCCCCCCACGGCCGUUGAUACACUAGUACCCAUUGUAGGGGCAGAUGCCUGUGUAAAUUGUGGUUGUGAAGAGGAUUGCAAUGAUUGUGAUGACGCAGAAGCACCACUACUGGUGGAUUUAGCCAUUAUUUUCAAAGUUUUACCACUUCUUAAAUGCAUUCAUAAAUCAAGAGUUUUUCCAGAGAAAAGGUUUCCUAAAAACAGUUGCUAAUUUUCAGAAAACGGUUUUCGCAAGAAAAUUUUUAAAAAUUGUUUGAAAAAACGAAAAUUAUUUUCAAAAUUUGCAUAAACAGGGUUCCCUUGGGCGUGCAAUUUUUUUACCAGUGUUUUUGGUAAACAAGAAGGGCUGGUUUUGGUUAUUACAAGAAGGAUCAAACUAGAAAUCCUAAUACAUGUUGUGCAAAGUUUUUCAGAAAAAAAGGUGUGCGUUCAUCAAAUUCAUAGGUUGCUUUAUGAACAAGAUGAGUUCGUAUGGCGUCAUUCGACAAAAAAAGGUUUUGAAUAAAAGGAAACACAGUAAAUGCAAAAUAAAGGCUAAAAGUUUAAAACGCAGAAACUUAAAGAAAAGAUAAAUUGCAUUACAUUAAAAUAAAGGUGGUUUCACAAAUCAUUUUACAUACAUGUUGUAUAACUCUUUUCUCUCACGUCGGUACCUCAAGUGUUUUAGAAUUUCUAUAAGCGAUUUACGGCUCGUUUUCCAUAUGGAAAACUACUAUUUAUACAUAGCAAAAUAAGUCGAAAAAGCCUAACUCCAUGAUCAACACUUCUUCCAUGUGGACAACCGCUUGUUUCCAAUGUUUCCAUUGAGGAAACCACUUCUCUUUGAAAUUCAAAAUCUUCCCGCCUAAACAGUAAUUGCUUGGCUUCAACGAGCUUGCCUUCGUGGCUUCAUCUUGUCAAACUUUGGGACUUUUGGACCUUUUCAUGCGCUAGGUCUAAAUCUCGUCGAAAUCCUCAAGUUGAAAGGGAAUGACUUCGAUUCCUGCAAAGAUAACAAUAAACCAGAGUUAAACGCAUUAAAUGAGCGUAUUGAAAUUACAGCUUGACAGGGGGCCAAACCAAACCCUGAGUCAAGCAUUAACAAAACCUAUAAUAAGGAAGACCAAGUCUUUUUUUAAUAAGGUCUCCUAUAAUAUGAAUAGUGGGUGAAGACCACCAAACAUAACCAAUAUUUGAGAGACCUAGGUUAGCAAGUUUGUCUGAACAAUGAUUUCUUUCUCUCUAAAUGUGAGAGAUCACAAAAUGAAAAGAGCUCAGUUUCAAAAGACAGUUUUCCCAUCUAUUUUUCAUCUUCCAGGGAACUAUAUGAGGGGAUUUGAAAGCUAGGGUUGCAAGGUUAGAGUCACUCACCCUCACAUAACAUUCAAAGUACAUAUUUCCCAAAGAAAUUUUAUGUAACAAUUUUGAUACAAAGUUUAUUUUGGAAAACUUCAAAAAUUUAAUUUCGGUUUCUUUUAAAUUUCCAGAAACUCAUGCACACAUUUCCAAAUUUAAAAUCGAAAAUAUGUAAGAUUCUUUGUUAGUGUUACUUUUUGUUGAUCUGGAAAACUAUAUAAAUAAAUAAAAACACAUUUUUUUACAAAAAAUAAAUAAAAACACUUAACUGUACAAAAAACCAUUAUUUGGAAGUUAUUCUUCCUCCUGCAAUUAACAACACUACUUUAGAAUAUAAUUCUUAUCUGUCUAGACCUCCCCAUCUUCAGUGGGGAUGCUAAGCAAUUUUUUUGGUGGAAAAACAAAUUGUAUAGUCAUGUCAUAACUCUUGAUGAAGAACUAUGGGGUAUAAUUGAAUAUGGUUGUAGCAUUCCAGUCAAUGCAGAUGGAGCCACUUUAAAAAGAAAAAGUUUGACAAAGGAGCAGAAAAAGCUUUAGAAGAAACAUCAUAAAGUUUGUAGUAUCAUGGUGAAUAAUCUUCCCUUCCCUAAGUAUACUAAAAUUGUUGAGAAAUCUACUGCUAAGAGUAUAUUUGAUUCCCUCUGCUCCACAUAUGAGGGAAAUCAACAAGUGAAUGAAGUCAAGGAAAAUCUUCUAGUCCAACAAUACAAACUAUUCAAAAUGAAGGAUGAUGAAGAUAUUGAAACUAUGGUUUCAAGGUUUCAAACACUUGUCUCUAUUCGACAUGUGCUAAGUGAAUGCUACACUACAACAGAUCGUGUAAAGAAGAUUUUAAGGAGUCAUCCUGUCAGAUGGAGACCCAAGGUAAAUGUUAUUCAAGAAGUUAAAGACUUGAAUACUAUGGGUGUGGAAACUCUGAUAAGCUAACUGAUAAGUUAUGAGAUGGAGUUAUUAGAGGAUCAUGCUUCUAGAAAAAUCAAGUAUAUUUCACUUAAAUCAAAGGGCAAAAUAGUCAAAGCUCUACAAGCUAUAGAGUUUCAAGAAGACACUCCAGAUGAUGAGACUAUAGAUGGAUUUGAUGAGGAUGAGGUGACAUUCUUGUCUAAGAGGCUUCAACACUUGUAUAAGAAGAAAAUAAGAACAUUGGUGCCAAAGGAUUCAACUUCAGGGAAAAUAAAGAUGACCCUAAGAGGAAGCAAAUCUUUCUAGGCUUUAAUAUGUGUUUAGUCCUUGCAAUUAGGAGUCGUUUAAAAAUUGGUCCCUGUAAACGAUAAUCCUUGCAAAUUAGCCUUGCAAUUAUUAAUCACUUAAAAUUUCGUCCCUUGACCCAGUUAAUUACUGCCAUGUCAUCAAAUUAGCAAAAUGGCAUGGAAAUGGACAAAAAUACCCUCUUCUUCCUAAACCUUCAUCUCUUUCUCUCCUUCCUCUGAUCAUCAACAACCACCUUAGCAACAGCAAAAACAUCAACUUUGGUGAAUGUUCAUCAAUGCAAAACACCAACAACAACAACACAAACAUUAACACAACAAAAACAUCAACUUCGUUUCCAUAUUGUUGUAACAUUAUUUACAGUGCUAUUAUCACAUGAACUAUUAUUUUCCUUUCAAUAAGUCAACAUGUUUCAUUCAUGUUGAAAAUGAAAACCCAUAUUCAAAUUCCAAAAAUUACUACUCUUCCAAACAAUUGAAUCUACAAAAUGCAACUUCCACACCAACAAAAACAACAAAUUCAAAAAACUGAAAAAAUCUAAUUGAUAAUUUACCGAAAUUAUCAUUUUCCACCAUCAAUUCAUUCCGUCACCGGAUCUAGUCCCGGCGCCGGUGUUCUUUAUGUUCGAUCUUCAUCGGAAUUAGGUUUUGGAGAAAGGAAGAAGGUUGGGGGGGUUGGAUUAGAAGCUUUUGGAGAUGAAGGAUGCGGGUUUGAACCAGAGAAGGUGGGAAGACGGUGGCGGCGAUUUUGGGAGAGGAAGACGGUGGCGGCAAUUUUGAGAGAGGAAGACGGCGGCGGUGCUGGUGGUGGGUCGGUGGUUGACAGUGGUCUCUCAAUAAUAAAUGAUGCAAAAAUUGUAGAUAUCAUCUUUUUCUUCCAAAACCCACUUCUCUCUCCAUCCUCCCGCUGCUUCCUCUCUAGUAGGAUCCCUAUUCCCAAUUAUACCUCUAUUCCCUUUUUUCUUUCUUCUGUAGACUUUGAUUGGAGGCCAAAUUGUUACGGCCCACAAUAUUUCCUUAUUGGUUCCCUCAAUACCCCCAUAUAUUGAUAUCCUGGAUUUGGCAUUAUUUCUGAAUCCGUAACAAAUUUAUUCAACCAAAUCCAUUUUUAACAUGAAGAAAACAAAACAUAUGAAAGGAAAUUUAUUCAACCAAAUCAUAUUCAUGUGGUGUGGUUCCUGGUUGUAUAUUCUUAACAUAUAUGAGAAGUGAAAAGAGUGAGAAUGAAUGCAGAACUGUUCUUGUGGUGUGGAUGAAUUUGUCACUGUUUCAUGCAUCUGGAAAAAGAAGAAGAUGAGGGUAUUUUUGUCCAUUCCCAUGCCAUUUUGCUAAUUUGAUGACGUGGCAGUCAUUAAGUGGGUUAAGGGACAAAAUUUUAAAUGAUUAAUAAUUGCAAGGCUAUUUUGCAAGGAUUAGCGAUUACAGUGACCAAUUUUUAAAUGACCCCUAAUUGCAAGGACUAAACACAUAUUAAAGCCAUCUCUCUAUGAUGGACCCGACAUCAAUCAUCUGAAUCUGAUUCUAACUUUGAAAACGACAAUGAGGUAUUUUCUAAACUUACUCAUGAAGAGUAUUUAAUGCCAUUAAAUAUCUGCAGAGCAAUUUUCAUAUUAAAUUAUGAAGAAUAACUAUUCGUGUCCAUGUGUAUUUCCCUUCUAGUUGGUGGUGGUUGUUCUCUGCUCACAAAGUCUUUGUGACUUACCCAUUUAUAUUCUAUUAUUUUUCAGAUUAACAAGUAGCUUAGUAGCAUGCAACUAGCAGACCUAAAGUUUAGAAGUGUCACUCUUUUUUGCAGGCCUUCUUGAUUGACAGUUCUUUUCUUGAUGUAUUUAUGUGAGUUGGUCAUGUACCUGCAACUAUUUGGGAGUCUAUAAAUAUAAUAUUUUCAGUUGUAUAAUCAGCUAGUUAUAUCAUUUUGGAAUUAUCGCUAAUGAUAUAGGUUUAUGAACAUGAAUAUGAUUUUGGAAACGCUGAAAAUACAAAGGUUACUAUGUCGAAAUUUAAGUGAAAGUUAGUUCAGAAAUUGCUUAUUUAUUGUUUGGCAAGUUUGGUGGUUAGGCUUGCCGAUAAAUCAAGGACUAGUUCAUGCAACGGUCACGAUUGUAAAUUUUUGAUCGUGACACAAACAAAGAAAGUCAAUGUAUCUAAAUAUCAUAUAGUUCAAAUAACAAGCUAAACUCACAUUUCACAAACAUUUUCUCCAUGGGUUUGAAAUAUUUUUUUGGCUAUUUAAUCUAAUGAUCAUUGGACCAAUUUAUUUAUUUUCAAUUCAUCAUUUUUAACACAUUUCUCAAGGAAAUAUCUUCAUUGAUAUAAAUUGAACAUAUAGAUGUGAAACUGUUAAAAACUUUCAAACAAAAAAUGAAAUAAACAACAUAUUAGUGAGUCAUUGGACUGAAUACUGUGUUUUAUUUAUAACAAAAAACAAACAAUACAAUAUAAAUAAUCAUACUUCAACCGAAAAUUUCUCUCUCUUAUCCAAGAUGAGGCUAAUUCAAAAAGAACAUUUAUUGAUCCAAAUCGUGGGUCAAAUACUUUUUGUACCAUUUAGCUGUGUUUGUCGGUAUACGUUUGAGACAAUCAUUAAAAUCAACAUGAUAAAGCCCCAUAUUAUGAGAAUAUCCAUCGUAAAAAUCAAACGUAUCAAAUGCUGCCCAUGCAAAGUAUCCACGAACAUUUACGCCAUCACUGUCAAUGUAAAAAUAUAAUUGCAUUAAAUAUAUGUUUCUUUUGGAAACAAAGUUAUGAAAGCAUGCUAUUUCAGAAUAGAUUUGUUUCAUAACUUUGAAUUUGUCGCCUUUCGAUAUUAGAUAUGUUUUGAACUAAAAUUAUAAAUAUUAAAAGAUGUAACAACUUCUUCAAAGUGAACAAUACAUUUUAUGAGUAAAACCAUGAUUGUUAGAAAGAUAUUAAAAUUUAUGCUCUAAAGAUUCUUAUAUAUAAAGAUGAUUAAAUGUUUAAAU
RNAcentral lists this long non-coding RNA (30829 nucleotides) under Medicago truncatula (barrel medic). RNAcentral's name for it is "long non-coding RNA (MTRU_LNC005059)". The stretch from base 15466 to 15634 matches the Rfam family "MIR2619 microRNA precursor family". Lineage: Eukaryota; Viridiplantae; Streptophyta; Magnoliopsida; Fabales; Fabaceae. The record is from RNAcentral.